GACGUACGCUGGCGGCGUGCUUAACCAAUGCACGAAAAACGGAAAGGCCCUGCUUUCGUGCUGUGCACGAGUGGCGAACGGGCGAGUAACACGUGAGUAACCUGCCCUUGACUUUGGGAUAAUUUUUGGAAACUAGGGCUAAUACCGGCUAGGAGAAUCUGCUGCAUGGUGGGGGUUGGAAAUAUGCGGCUGGUGGGGAUGGACUUGCGGCUUAUCAGCCUGUUGGUGGGGUAGUGGCUUACCAAGGCUUUGACGGGUAGCCGGUCUGCGGGGAGGACCGGCCUCAUUGGGUCUGAGAUACGGCCUAGACUCCUCCGGGAGGCAGCAGUGGGGUAUAUUGCACGAUGGGCGGAAGCCUGAUGCAGCAACGCCGCGUGCGGGAUAACGGCUUUCGGGUUGUAAACCGCUUUCGCCUGUGACGAAGCGUGAGUGACGGUAAUGGGUAAAGAAGCACCGGCUAACUACGUG
RNAcentral lists this ribosomal RNA (468 nucleotides) under uncultured bacterium. RNAcentral describes it as "partial 16S ribosomal RNA". It matches the Rfam family "Bacterial small subunit ribosomal RNA", at positions 28 to 507 of the family's 1533-position model. The record is from RNAcentral.